Molecule: ribosomal RNA, 645 nt
Filed under: Monochelus cf. jucundus spSA1
Lineage: Eukaryota; Metazoa; Arthropoda; Insecta; Coleoptera; Scarabaeidae
Description: eukaryotic LSU rRNA
Rfam family: Eukaryotic large subunit ribosomal RNA
Source: RNAcentral
GGACCAAGGAGUCUAGCAUGUGCGCGAGUCAUUGGGACUCUAACGAAACCUAAAGGCGCAAUGAAAGUGAAGGUCCGCCUUGCGCGGACCGAGGGAGGAUGGGAGGUCUCGAGGGACCUCCUCGCACUCCCGGGGCGUCUCGUUCUCAUAGCGAGAAGAGGCGCACCCAGAGCGUACACGCUGGGACCCGAAAGAUGGUGAACUAUGCCUGGUCAGGACGAAGUCAGGGGAAACCCUGAUGGAGGUCCGUAGCGAUUCUGACGUGCAAAUCGAUCGUCGGAACUGGGUAUAGGGGCGAAAGACUAAUCGAACCAUCUAGUAGCUGGUUCCCUCCGAAGUUUCCCUCAGGAUAGCUGGCGCUCGCAUCUCGCGAGUCUCAUUCGGUAAAGCGAAUGAUUAGAGGCAUUGGGGUCGAAACGGCCUCAACCUAUUCUCAAACUUUAAAUGGGUGAGAUCUCCGGCUUGCUUGAACUGUGAAGCCGCGAGAUAUCGGAUCAGAGUGCCAAGUGGGCCACUUUUGGUAAGCAGAACUGGCGCUGUGGGAUGAACCAAACGCCGAGUUAAAGCGCCUAAAUCGACGCUUAUGGGAUACCAUGAAAGGCGUUGGUAACUUAAGACAGCAGGACGGUGGCCAUGGAAGUCGGA